AUUGUAGCUUGCUACAUAACCUAGCGGCGGACGGGUGAGAAAAGCUGAGGAAUCUGCCUAUUAGUGGGGGACAACAUUCCGAAAGGAAUGCUAAUACCGCAUACGUCCUACGGGAGAAAGCAGGGGACCUUCGGGCCUUGCGCUAAUAGAUGAGCCUAAGUCGGAUUAGCUAGUUGGUGGGGUAAAGGCCUACCAAGGCGACGAUCUGUAGCGGGUCUGAGAGGAUGAUCCGCCACACUGGGACUGAGACACGGCCCAGACUCCUACGGGAGGCAGCAGUGGGGAAUAUUGGACAAUGGGCGGAAGCCUGAUCCAGCCAUGCCGCGUGUGUGAAGAAGGCCUUUUGGUUGUAAAGCACUUUAAGCGAGGAGGAGGCUACUAGUAUUAAUACUACUGGAUAGUGGACGUUACUCGCAUAAUAAGCACCGGCUAACUCUGUGCCAGCAGCCGCGGUAAUACAGAGGGUGCGAGCGUUAAUCGGAUUUACUGGGCGUAAAAGCGUGCGUAGGCGGCUGAUUAAGUCG
Molecule: ribosomal RNA, 524 nt
Filed under: Acinetobacter calcoaceticus
Lineage: Bacteria; Pseudomonadati; Pseudomonadota; Gammaproteobacteria; Moraxellales; Moraxellaceae
Description: bacterial SSU rRNA
Rfam family: Bacterial small subunit ribosomal RNA
Source: RNAcentral